ACUCCUACGGGAGGCAGCAGUGGGGAAUAUUGCACAAUGGGCGCAAGCCUGAUGCAGCCAUGCCGCGUGUAUGAAGAAGGCCUUCGGGUUGUAAAGUACUUUCAGCAGUGAGGAAGGUGAGCGUUAAUAGCGGCCUCAUUUGACGUUUAGCUGCAGAGAAGCACCGGCUAACUCCGUGCCAGCAGCCGCGGUAAUACGGAGGGUGCGAGCGUUAAUCGGAAUUACUGGGCGUAAAGCGCAUGCAGGUGGUUUGUUAAGUCAGAUGUGAAAGCCCGGGGCUCAACCUCGGAAUAGCAUUUUGAAAACUGGCAGACUAGAGUACUUAGAGGGGGGUAGAAUUUCAGGUGUAGCGGUGAAAUGCGUAGAGAUCU
RNAcentral lists this ribosomal RNA (371 nucleotides) under uncultured bacterium. Its description in RNAcentral is "bacterial SSU rRNA". It matches the Rfam family "Bacterial small subunit ribosomal RNA", at positions 335 to 699 of the family's 1533-position model. The record is from RNAcentral.